Long non-coding RNA from Melopsittacus undulatus (budgerigar), 624 nucleotides. RefSeq lists it as uncharacterized. The record is from RefSeq and is a predicted model, not a curated record. NCBI's taxonomy places the organism in Eukaryota, Metazoa, Chordata, Aves, Psittaciformes, Psittaculidae. The transcript is spliced from 4 exons.
GUGCGUAGUGGCGGCUCCGUGCGGCGGCUGCGCGUGCGUAUUGCGCGUUCGCUGAGGCGGUGUGGUUGAGCGGAGCAUGCGCAGGUGUCCCGUCCGAGCUGAAGCGGUCGGUAUGGCUGCCAGCGCCAAGUCGUUCCUGUCCGAUGCGGGCUAUGGGGAGCAGGAGCUGAACGCGAACUCUGCUCUCAUGGAAGUCGACAAAGUUCCUGUCCUUCACCUCUUGGGGAGUUUACUUACUGGAUGCACUUCCUGGCCUUGUGUUUGACGCAGCAAAAGAAGAUGUGGCACUGCGGAUGAGCAUACCGAGGAAGCUGCUUCUGCAGGUGGAUGUAGCUGACUCAAGGAGAAAGCUGAGCAACCUUGGAUGCUGAGCUCUAAUUGUGGGAAACUAUAGCCUUGGCAGAGAUCAUUCUCUGCACGAAAACAUGGGAAAUUACAGAAGCAUAACAAGACAAUUGACCUUGCUUAUGCCUGCCGAGAAUCUUCUUAUUGUCCAGUAACAAGGCUCAGGGUAUUGGGAUCGCUCACUGCGUGGCCUUGGCUCUGCAAGAAUUGCACGAGUGCGGACUUGUAGAAAUGCUUUUUGUUGUGUUAAUAAAAAAAUGGAGAGGGUGAGGGUGGAUG